RNAcentral lists this ribosomal RNA (1971 nucleotides) under Triticum aestivum (bread wheat). RNAcentral's name for it is "partial small subunit ribosomal RNA". Lineage: Eukaryota; Viridiplantae; Streptophyta; Magnoliopsida; Poales; Poaceae. The record is from RNAcentral.
AUGGCGACACCUCUGCCACCGGCGGUCCCGGCGCUCCUGUCGCCAAUGCCCCACCAGCCCUGCUGCCUGCCGAUGCUACUGCCUUUGCGUCGCCUGCAUCUCCCCUCUCCUCGUCGGUUCUUCAAACGAUCAACAUCCACUGGCACCCACUUCGACACAUCAAUCAGCAUGUUCGGUCUUCGCGGUCAUGUCGACGCCGAGGCUGUGCAGUGCCCCAACAACCCCGAGUGGGUGAUGGCGGAUCACGCGGUCGUCCAUUGGUUCAACACCACUGUCGCGCCUGGUCUCCUUGAUGUCGUGAUGCAACACGAGGACACGGUACUCACCUUGUGGAUGGUGAUCGACGGCACCUUCCAGGACAACCAGCUCACCCGUGCGAUUUACAUCGACAUCGUGUACCAUACCCUGCGUGAUCUCGGCCAGCCGGUGAGUGAGACGCAACAGGUCUUCUACCUUCUGCGUGGACUUGGGCACCAGUACCAUGGCGCGAUCCUCAUAUCACGCCGCGCACGCCUCUUCUGGCAUUCCCCCAAACUUGCUCCUUCCCGUUUCUCAAGGAGCAUCGUGCGGAUCAAACUGCGCAUCUUCAGAGUGUGCACGCGCUCGUCGCCAGGCGCGUCGCCGCCGCCCCUUCUCCACCGCUUGUCACGCCUGAUACCAACGACAACGGUGGUGGUCGCGGGCGUCAUCGAGGAUGUGGCACCGACACUGGUGAUGGAUCGGGCAGUGGUGGCUCUCCCCAACAACCGCCACCGCGCAUCCCAGGCUUCCAUGCCCCUGCCCCUAGCACCAACUCCUGGACAGGGCUCAUUAACUCGGGACGGUUCGCUACAGGUGUCGGGCGGCCGCCUCUUCGUUGCCCCGCCAAUCUGCCGCAUAAGGCCCAUUUACCAUGUCCUUCUCACGUUCUGCCUGGCAGACAAGAACCAACCCGUCUUGCCGCCGUCUUCUACUAUUUUCAGUCUGGCGUGGACUCCUGCGACCGGCGGACUGGUCACUGGGGCUUGCCGGCGAGUGGGGUGGCGAGCGCCCGGAAAGAGCUGGGAGGCUAGAGGCUGGUCAUGGCUCCUGGGCUCGUCUCGUCGCGGCCGGGCAGGCGACGCCGGCGCCGCGCGCAGAGAUCCGGAGGCAUUGAUGGUUAAGGGGAUCCCGUCAAAACUGGUCAAGGGGGAAACCAUUGAUGCAUCUUACAAAAGAAAGAGAGAAGUAGAACAAGCCGUCCGGCACACCAUAGCAUGUCCUGUUCAUUUUUUGUCACGUUACGAUAUUUCUCCCGUUUCCCCUUUUGCCCUCGCACUCGCUCUCUCCCCGACCACACGCUCUCUCCCGGCCAACACUCUCUCCCCGACCACUCGCUCCUCCCCGCCCAGAUCCCUUGCGCCGCCGGCUAGUCGCCGCCCUCUCCCUCUCGUCGGUGUCUUCCUCACCGCAGCCUUGCUCCUCACCACCCCUAAAACUAGCAACCCGUCUCCCCCUCGUCGGUCAAAGGUGAAAUUUUUACCAGCCGGGGUGCUCGAUCUGUGGGCGGCGGUGCUCGAUCCGUGUUGGAGCAGCGGGAGGAGGAGGGCAGUGCUGGAUUGGAGCAGCGUCCUCUUCGCUCUCGUCAUGUCGUUGCCGCCGCCGAGGAAGAUGGAGAGCCUGUCGGAGGGAGGAGCGCCAUGGCCAGUUCUGACCUCCUCCGUCCAGAUCCAGCUCCAGCAAUCAUCCCCUCUUGCUGCUUGCUCUCUCAAUUUCAAGACUGAAGAAGAGAACAUGGGGAGCAGCAGCUGCCCUCUGCUCUGCUCUUAUGCGAAUGCUCUACUGCAGGACCGUGGCAGCGAUGCUCGCCGAAGCGGACGACAACCACUCCCGUGCAAACAAAGUGCAUUUUCGCUGCAACCUAAUCUGUGGAGUAUCAAGCUAAUUGGAAGAAAGCCAAUUGCUUGCUCUGUAGGAACUUUUAUGUGCUGGAGUAUAGGAUUUGCUGUUUAG